Molecule: ribosomal RNA, 1171 nt
Filed under: Pseudo-nitzschia pungens
Lineage: Eukaryota; Bacillariophyta; Bacillariophyceae; Bacillariales; Bacillariaceae
Description: partial Bacterial large subunit ribosomal RNA
Rfam family: Bacterial large subunit ribosomal RNA
Source: RNAcentral
GCGAAAGCGAGUCUGAAUAGGGCGAAUGAGUUAGAUGGAUUAGACCCGAAACCCGGCGAUCUAGGCAUGACCAGGUUGAAGGUGCGGUAACACGCACUGGAGGACCGAACCAUUUAAUGUUGAAAAAUUAUUGGAUGAGUUGUGUUUAGGGGUGAAAGGCCAAUCAAGCCGGGAAAUAGCUGGUUCUCCGCGAAAACUAUUGAGGUAGUGCCUCGGACGUUUUCCUAUGGGGGUAGAGCACUGGAUGGGCUAGGGGGUCGCGAGACCUACCAAACCUAACCAAACUCCGAAUACCAUAGAGACAAGUCCGGGAGACAGACGGCGGGUGCUAAGGUCCGUCGUCAAAAGGGAAACAGCCCUAACCUACAGCUAAGGUCCCCAAGUCAUUACUAAGUGGGAAAGCAUGUGGGAAUCCCAAAACAACCAGGAGGUUGGCUUAGAAGCAGCCAUCCUUUAAAGAAAGCGUAACAGCUCACUGGUCUAAAUAAGGGUUCCUGCGGCGAAGAUGUAACGGGGCUAAAGUAAUGCACCGAAGCUUAGGGUUCAGAAUUUAUUCUGAGCGGUAGCGGAGCGUUCCGUAAGCGGAUGAAGCCGAAGGGUAACCGACGGUGGACGUAUCGGAAGUGCGAAUGCUGACAUGAGUAGCGACAAACAGUGUGAGAUGCACUGUCGCCGAAAGCCCAAGGGUUCCUGCUUAAAGCUAAUCUGAGCAGGGUGAGUCGGCCCCUAAGACGAGCCCGAAGGGGGUAGUCGAUGGGAACACGGUUAAUAUUCCGUGACCUGGUGGAAUGUGACGGAUCUCGUGUGUUGUCUGAUCUUAUUGGAUUGAUCAGGCUUCGAAGAGGUUCCAGGAAAUAGCUCCACCAUAUAGACCGUACCCUAAACCGACACAGGUGGGCAGGUAGAGUAUACCAAGGCGCUUGAGAGAAGUAUCCUGAAGGAACUCGGCAAAUUACCUCCGUAACUUCGGGAGAAGGAGGCCCUAUCAGAAGGCAACUUUUGGUAGGGGGCACAAGCUGGGGGGUAGCGACUGUUUAGCAAAAACACAGGACUCUGCUAAGUCGGCUUCAAGACGACGUAUAGGGUCUGACGCCUGCCCGGUGCUCGAAGGUUAAGAGGAGGAGUGCAAGCUCUGAAUUGAAGCCCGAGUAAACGGCGGCCGUAACAAUAA